Molecule: ribosomal RNA, 551 nt
Filed under: uncultured Actinomycetes bacterium
Lineage: Bacteria; Bacillati; Actinomycetota; Actinomycetes
Description: bacterial SSU rRNA
Rfam family: Bacterial small subunit ribosomal RNA
Source: RNAcentral
GGGGUAAUGGCCUACCAAGGCGACGACGGGUAGCCGACCUGAGAGGGUGACCGGCCACACUGGGACUGAGACACGGCCCAGACUCCUACGGGAGGCAGCAGUGGGGAAUAUUGCACAAUGGGCGAAAGCCUGAUGCAGCGACGCCGCGUGAGGGAUGACGGCCUUCGGGUUGUAAACCUCUUUCAGCAGGGACGAAGCGCAAGUGACGGUACCUGCAGAAGAAGCGCCGGCUAACUACGUGCCAGCAGCCGCGGUAAUACGUAGGGUGCGAGCGUUGUCCGGAAUUAUUGGGCGUAAAGAGCUCGUAGGCGGCUUGUCGCGUCGGUUGUGAAAGCCCGGGGCUUAACCCCGGGUCUGCAGUCGAUACGGGCAGGCUAGAGUUCGGUAGGGGAGAUCGGAAUUCCUGGUGUAGCGGUGAAAUGCGCAGAUAUCAGGAGGAACACCGGUGGCGAAGGCGGAUCUCUGGGCCGAUACUGACGCUGAGGAGCGAAAGCGUGGGGAGCGAACAGGAUUAGAUACCCUGGUAGUCCACGCCGUAAACGGUGGGCACU